GAUGAACGCUGGCGGCGUGCCUAAUACAUGCAAGUCGAGCGAACAGACGAGGAGCUUGCUCCUCUGACGUUAGCGGCGGACGGGUGAGUAACACGUGGAUAACCUACCUAUAAGACUGGGAUAACUUCGGGAAACCGGAGCUAAUACCGGAUAAUAUAUUGAACCGCAUGGUUCAAUAGUGAAAGACGGUUUUGCUGUCACUUAUAGAUGGAUCCGCGCCGCAUUAGCUAGUUGGUAAGGUAACGGCUUACCAAGGCAACGAUGCGUAGCCGACCUGAGAGGGUGAUCGGCCACACUGGAACUGAGACACGGUCCAGACUCCUACGGGAGGCAGCAGUAGGGAAUCUUCCGCAAAGGGCGAAAGCUUGACGUAGCAACGCCGCGUGAGUGAUGAAGGUCUUCGGAUCGUAAAACUCUGUUAUUAGGGAAGAACAAAUGUGUAAGUAACUAUGCACGUCUUGACGGUACCUAAUCAGAAAGCCACGGCUAACUACGUG
Molecule: ribosomal RNA, 497 nt
Filed under: uncultured bacterium
Lineage: Bacteria
Description: partial 16S ribosomal RNA
Rfam family: Bacterial small subunit ribosomal RNA
Source: RNAcentral